GACGAACGCUGGCGGCGUGCCUAAUACAUGCAAGUCGAGCGGACGAAUCGAAAGCUUGCUUUUGAUUCGUUAGCGGCGGACGGGUGAGUAACACGUGGGCAACCUGCCCUGUAGACGGGGAUAACACCGAGAAAUCGGUGCUAAUACCGGAUAACACGAAAUGUCGCAUGACGUUUCGUUGAAAGACGGCGCAAGCUGUCGCUACAGGAUGGGCCCGCGGCGCAUUAGCUAGUUGGUGAGGUAACGGCUCACCAAGGCGACGAUGCGUAGCCGACCUGAGAGGGUGAUCGGCCACACUGGGACUGAGACACGGCCCAGACUCCUACGGGAGGCAGCAGUAAGGAAUCUUCCGCAAUGGACGAAAGUCUGACGGAGCAACGCCGCGUGAGCGAAGAAGGCCUUCGGGUCGUAAAGCUCUGUUGUUAGGGAAGAACAAGUAACGCAGUAACUGGCGUUACCGUGACGGGACCUAACGAGAAAGCCACGGCUAACUACGU
This 497-nucleotide ribosomal RNA is filed under the name uncultured bacterium. Its description in RNAcentral is "partial 16S ribosomal RNA". It matches the Rfam family "Bacterial small subunit ribosomal RNA", at positions 28 to 506 of the family's 1533-position model. The record is from RNAcentral.